GAAAUGCGAUAAGUAGUGUGAAUUGCAGAAUUCAGUGAAUCAUCGAAUCUUUGAACGCACAUUGCGCCCUUUGGUAUUCCUUAGGGCAUGCCUGUUCGAGCGUCAUCUAAACCUUCAAGCCCUGCUUGGUGUUGGGUGCCUGUCCCGCCUCCGCGCGCGGACUCACCUCAAAUCCAUUGGCGGCCCCCGCGUCGGCCACGAGCGCGGCAGAAACGCGAACUCGUGAGCCCGUCCGGGCGGCUCCCAGAAGCUACACCCACCCAGUUUGACCUCGGAUCAGGUAGGGAUACCCGCUGAACUUAAGC
This 305-nucleotide unclassified non-coding RNA is filed under the name plant metagenome. RNAcentral describes it as "partial contains 5.8S ribosomal RNA, internal transcribed spacer 2, and large subunit ribosomal RNA". The stretch from base 1 to 105 matches the Rfam family "5.8S ribosomal RNA", at positions 50 to 154 of the family's 154-position model. The record is from RNAcentral.